GAAAGUAAUUUUUAUCCAAGCAUGCAUGUAGUAGGUGCGCAUAGGAUAGGACUGGUAUUUUUUUUAAAAUAAACUUUAGCAAACACAAAACAUAUACCUAUAUGCCAACAUCCCAAAUUAGCAAGGCUGCCUUUGCUUAGCCCCGAAGUUAACUAUAUGUCUUCUCUACAAAAACUUUGCUAUUGCCCGUCUUUUUAGUAUAUUUUAAAGGAUCCCUUGUUUGUAUUUGCUUCUCUCUCCGUUUUCCUCAUUCCUUUAAGAACAUUUUUCCUCAGUAAAAUAUCACAUACCAACUCCUUGCUAAGUUUUGUUCUUGUAUAUUUCCGGUUUAAUCUUUUUUUUGUCCUUACGUCCGUCCCGUUUAAGAACCUGACAUCAACCUGAUAACAAAAGUGGAAAGUUUUUUGUAAUCAGGUGAUGCGGAUUGAGACGUACGUUGGAAUUUGAAAUAUUUUGAAGAUUUCAUUCUUCCCACAGAGAAGAAAUAUAUUAUUGAUCAAUAAGAAAUUACAUUAACAUUUGGUUUACAAAAGUAUCCAGCAGGACUUGACUCUUGGUGAAGGGUCCAGGGAGCCUUAGACUUGGAUAAUGGUUUACAAAAGUAUCUCUAGGACGAAAACUAACAGAGAUUUAAGGUCUGAGUUUGGUCCUGAGGCCGGCUUGGAUGAUGGGCUGCAUGUUUCGAUCCAACCGUAACCUAGAUUGAUCCUGCUGAAGAGCCAAGAGCAUCUUCUUCCGAAAUCUCUGAAUCACAAUUUGCUGAGAGUGAGAUGGGAUACUGCCUGUUAAAGCUUCAGCCACUAGGGGGGUGGACCAAUAUGUGUAGGCUGGUGAGUAAAAUCAAAUCGGCCAGAGCUUGAGUUCAGGCUUGGAUAAUAUCCGAUUUCUCAUCUGUACAACAACUGCAAGGGAAGAAAACGUCGGAGAGAUGAAGGAGGUGAAGGUUUUGGUGAGUUUUUCCAAACUUGUCAAGUUUACUUAUUGUUUGAUUGUUUCAAAGUAGCCCAUGCUUUUGUUUUUGCACACGCAUUUUCACGCAGGGUAGCGUGCAUUUUCCUCGUUCCAUCAUUUCUUUAAUAGUAUUGACGUGUCCAUAAUAACUUGUCAAAGAAAAAGGGACUCCCAAAUUAACUUAUUAUAUGGGAGAAAUUACCAGGAAAUUGCAUGAUUAUCGGCAUGAAUUUACAUACUUUGAUUUUUUUCGGAUCUAAUUAUGUGAUUCAAUACAUUUUAAAACGAAUCACGUCUGUAUCAUUAUUUUUUUCAUAUGAUUCAGAAAGCCUUUCAUAGGAAACAUCCCAAUCUUUUGCAUUAGACAUAGUUUCUCUCAUUAUUAUUUUUUAAUGAGAUUUUUCCGGAUCUAAUUAUGUGAUUCAAUUCAUUUAAAAAUAUAAAACUAUCACGUUUACAUCAUUAUUAUUAUUAUUUCGCACCUGAUUCGGAAAGCGUUCCAUAGGAAACAUCCCAAUCUCUUUCAUUAGACAUAGUUUCUCUCAUUAGAUGUCUAGUCAUAUCGGUUAAGAUGACAUUUAAAAACUGUGCAACUAAUGAAUCGUUCUCUCUGGAAUUUAAUAAAAUAGUAAAUUAAAUGCAAAAAAUUAAUUAAUAAUUAAAUAAUCUUUAAUUAACGUGUAUUUAUUUCCGGUUAGAUUUUUUUAAUCUGUUUUUUAAUAUAUUCAUCACAACCAUUAUCCAGGAAUUUUGAAAUUUAUUAGUGUAGAAAGUUGUUGAAGAUUUAUAUAUUGAACAGUAUUUGACAAAAUAGUAAUAAUAGAAAGACAUUAGGACUUAGCAUUUAUCUAUUUAAAGUAUUUGAGAUAUAUAUAUAUAUAUAUAAACUAGUCAUGCACACGGCUUUUCUGAAUACCGAAAGGGACUAAUAAUAUAAAAAAUCAGUAGCUUGAAAAUAAAAGUAACAUCGAUCGAUGGAUCGCUAGACCAAGCGAAAAUGAAACUAUAAUCGUUCGACACAGACGUUAAACCUUGCAGUAUUGCACGAUCAAUGGAAUACGAUGUAUUCUUUGUCUAUGCACUGUGACAACAACUUAAAUUUUGAUCUGACGAUAGAAAAUCAAAGUAAUCUUCGUAGAUAGGUUGGUUGUCGGUUGCUGGACCAGCUGUAUAAUAAACAUUCUUCAAUUUUGGUUUUGGUAGAUAGGUUAGAAAUUAUUUUUUCAAUUCUAAUUGUUUUCUAUUUUAGUCAUUGACCAAAAAAUUUAAAAUAUUCAUUAAAGUAAUUUUCAAAUGUUUUUUUGUUAAAAAAAAAAAAAAAACUAUGAUCGGGCCAUUUGAAGUUUUCAAGCGUAUUUUUUCCGCUUACCAAGUAUAUAAAGGCUUUCCAUUUGAUGAGGAAAUGCAGUAAUUCCCUACUGAAAACUUCAAACUUCAAAGGUUUUCUAAGGAAAUAACAUAAAAUGCCUGCGACAGCUUUAAGUUGGAGGAACUCCAAGCUCGCAGUUGCAACAAAGAUGCGUUCCAAAAAAUCAAAGAGAGGCCAUCAGAAGAAAAGAAGGUUGACAAACCUAAACUUAUGCAUGAAAAUGUUAAAAGUGGAGUUGGAAGAAAUAAAUGAAGAGCAAAAAAAGAUAAAAGAGGGGCAAAGACUAUUAAGAGAAAAGUUUGAAGCCAUUGAAUUGGAAUGUGAGCAACUUCGAAAGGAGACUAUCCUCAUAACUCAACAAAGUGUUAGCACCCAAAUCUGCCUUGCUCUUAUGAUCCAAAUCCUAAAAGCUAAGGAAAAUAAUGACUUUUCCAAAGCAUCACAACUCACUUGUGCGCUUCGUGAACUCAUAGCAAGAGAGAAGUAGCAAAAGAAGCUUUGAUGGCUAAUUGGUGAUGCAUGCUAUCUCAAAUUAAUAAAUGGUGUAAUAGUUUCCAUCGUUAGACUUUUAUUUGUUUUGGUAUUUGAAAUAGUCAAGGUUUGAGGCAUGGUCAGUAAAAUUAAAAGUUCAACGCUCUAUCAAUAGAUCGCAUGACUAUUGAUUGUACAUUUUUUUAAUUAAAAAGUUUAAGGAAAUUAGAACAUGUUCUUUAAACAAAAGAAUUAUACCAAUUAUUGUGCCAAAUUUUUGUGUUAUGUUUGGGCAUAUAAUUUGCUGCGAGGGGCUUUUAAUUGGCUCUCUUUUUUAUUACUUCUAUCUAUAUUGCUUGCAAGAACAUAGAUCGCUAUCAAGUAAUAAGUGAGUAAGUAAAGUAUCAUCCCAUGAGGAUUAUAUAUUGUAAUUAUUGGGUGUAAAUCAAGUACCAAAGUUGACAAUCUACUAGCCUUAUAUCUAAAUGAUCGAAAUGAAAGGUUGAUUAAAAGUUAAAACAAGUAAACAAAGUAAAAGAGCAAUUGUGUAGAUAAGCCAAGAAAUAACUAUCCAACUAUCAUUUAUAAGUUUAAUGAGUGGUUGAAUAUAACAAAAACACUAAAAUAAUUGAAAGCUUUUGAGAAAAGAAAGAUUGAUUGUAGGCCAAAAAUAAAAGAAAGCAUAAUACAAGAUUUAAAGAUUACUUGUAAAAGAUCUUGAAUAGAAAGAAUGCUUGUUUUAAGAAAGAAUUGAAAAACAAUCUUAUGUUGGACUAGUCUAUCACUCUAGCUAAUACUAAAAACAAUUUGAUUUAAGCAAGUUCGUCACCCUAGCAAAAAUACUAAGAAAACCAAAAAUACAAGAAAGAAAUAAAAAGAACAAUGGGAUGAGAAUUAAGUGAUUUACAAUUAAAGAGAGCUUGCAUAUUUAUAAAGGUAGGUUUGACCAAGGGGAUUGGGAUUAGAAGUUUUUUUUUGCAAAUUAAACUCUAAAAAGAUUAAGCUUUAUCUUGAUUUUAAAGUGUUGUGAACGAACAUGGAGAUGGAGUGUCUUUCCUAAAUAGGGCUUCUUGCAUUUUGGCUAAGGUUGAUUAUCACAAAUUGUUGCAUCAAUCAUAAAUUGUUGAAAUAAAUCUCCAAAAUUCUUUCUUGCAUAUAAACUUUAGUCUUUAUCUCUUAUAUUGCAUUUAUCUUAUGUGAAAACUCUAUCAAGAUGAUCAAAGAGUCUUUUAAUAAAACAUCUUCUUGGUCGAGUAUUUGUAGAAGUCCUUGUUCAAGUAGGAUUCUUCAAUUACCAAAUGCUUGUAGGAUUCCUCAUGUAAGUAGGGUAGUUGAAUGGAUUUAGGAGUUCUAGUGCAAGUAGGAUUUAGCUAACUCUCCCUUAUUGUAUGGCCAAAUAUGACUUAGAUUAAAAUUAACCUAGUCUUGCAUAAAAUUGCAUUGCAUUGCAUCACAUAGAUUUCACAUCCAAUAUGCAUUAAACUUAAAGAUCAAGAAAUCACAUAUUAAGCACACCAAAUUCAAGCAAAUUUUCAAAAUUUUAAACUAAAUUGGACUUGUAAAUCACUAUAAUUUUUAUUGCUAUCAAACCCCACACUUAACUUUUUGCUUGUCUUUAAGUAAAACCCUCAAAUUAAUUAUAGUAAGUAAUCAAUUCAAAUGUACACAAAUUCAAAGUUUCACAAAUUAUCAAUCAUGCAAUAUAGUAUAAUACAAAUAAAGUUAUGAACAUAAUUAAAUAAGAAACUUAUCCAAAAGUAAGCUUUUAAUCUCAUUUAACUUUUAUGACAAUGAAGUUAAUUUAUCUUUAAUCCAUACAUACAAUCUAAGUAAAUAGUAUGCAACAUAUGCCAUCACAUAUUAACUUAAAGAUAAAAUACCUUCAUAUGUUUACUUUCCUCAUUCAUCCCCACUACUAUAGACUCACACACUUAACUCAAGAUCAAAAGGUAGGAAAGGAAAAUUUAGGCUUAUAACCUUUUGCUUACUUUUUCGAACAUGGACUUUGAGAACUUUUGAAACUUUUCAAAACUUGAGGCAUCUUUUUUUUUCUCAUUAGCCAUUUUGGCUUUUAUUCAUUGCUUUUGUCUUGCCUUACACCUCCCUUCCUUCUAAAGACAAAGUUGUUCUUUUUACUUUAUCUCUUACAUAUGCACAAGCAAUGUGAGUUCGGUAAAAACAAUAAAAAGGAUAAAUCAUAAAAAGGCCUUGGCUUAUUGUUAGGGUUAAAUAAACAAGGAACAGGUAACAUAUAAAGGUAUUUGGAUACUUUUUCAUAGAUGAGUUUGAAAGACUCAAACAUUCCAAAUAAUGCCUAAAUCAUUUCUUGAAUCAAAUAUAGUUUAAGAUUCAUCUUGAGGAUUGAGUAGGUAAAUUCUAAAGUUACACUCAUGCUUCAAAUCUUUAUGCAACUUUAUACUCACAAUCUUUUCACAAAUAUUGAUACAUAUCAAAGAUUAAGACUAAAUGCACAAAACAUAAAAAUCACAAUCAAAAGAAAAUCAUACUUAAGACUUCAUUUUCAUGCUUCACUACAUUCAUACAUGUCUUAAUAUCAUACUUAAUUCAAUCAUAAACAACUUAUGAAAAAUCAACUAAGAUGGCAUUAUAAAGAUUAUAACAUGUUAACUUGGUUUGAAAACAAAGAUUUUAGGGAUAUUUUGAAAAAAUUUUGAAAACAAUUUAGGUAAAAAAGCUUUCCUCCCCCACACUUGAAUUAUAUAAUAUUCACAUGAAACAACUAAGAACUAAGGGUAAAAAAAAAAAAAAAAAACUCCCCAAUCUUUGCUUUCCU
Molecule: non-coding RNA, 5585 nt
Organism: Durio zibethinus
Lineage: Eukaryota; Viridiplantae; Streptophyta; Magnoliopsida; Malvales; Malvaceae
Source: RefSeq, a predicted model, not a curated record